GCAGGAUUGGGAGCAGCAAGUGCACAGGCAAGGAGGUGAGGAAGAGCCCUGCAUCCCCAGGAAACCACAAAUAUGACUAGAGGACAUUUGUUGACUACUGUAGACAGCAUGGAAAAGUUCAACAUCAUAGAAUCUAAAGACCUGUGUGGACCUGGCCAAGCUGACCAAGUCCAGAGAAAAUGUCCCUUGAAGUAGGUAUAUUUUGGGUUCAUUUGAUAAUAAGAUGAAGAAUAGAGCUUUGUCAACUAUAAAGCACCAUGAAAAAUUGAGAAUUAAUAUUUCUACCUUAUGAAUAUAUUCAAGAUGAUCCCUUACUUGGAGAUAAUGGCUCAGAGAGAUUAUUUAAAGAGAAAACUGGAAAUAUUUUGACAUUUUUUAUGUGUUGGGGAUGACAGGAAGCCAAAGAUGUUACAUUUUCAAGGUUAGUGAAUGUGAUUGUGAUGGAGUGAUGGUGUCAUACAUUAAAAAAAGGAUCAUAGGAAAAGAUGUUUUAUUUUGAAAUUGAGAUA
RNAcentral lists this long non-coding RNA (509 nucleotides) under Canis lupus familiaris (dog). Its description in RNAcentral is "lncRNA (ENSCAFG00000052495.1)". Lineage: Eukaryota; Metazoa; Chordata; Mammalia; Carnivora; Canidae. The record is from RNAcentral.